RNAcentral lists this ribosomal RNA (386 nucleotides) under uncultured bacterium. Its description in RNAcentral is "bacterial SSU rRNA". It matches the Rfam family "Bacterial small subunit ribosomal RNA", at positions 29 to 417 of the family's 1533-position model. The record is from RNAcentral.
AUUGAACGCUGGCGGCAUGCCUUACACAUGCAAGUCGAACGGUAGCGCGGGGUAACCUGGCGACGAGUGGCGAACGGGUGAGUAAUGCAUCGGAACGUGCCCUGGAAUGGGGGAUAACGUAGCGAAAGUUACGCUAAUACCGCAUAUUCUGUGAGCAGGAAAGCAGGGGAUCGCAAGACCUUGCGCUCUGGGAGCGGCCGAUGUCGGAUUAGCUAGUUGGUGGGGUAAAGGCCUACCAAGGCGACGAUCCGUAGCGGGUCUGAGAGGAUGAUCCGCCACACUGGGACUGAGACACGGCCCAGACUCCUACGGGAGGCAGCAGUGGGGAAUUUUGGACAAUGGGGGGCAACCCUGAUCCAGCCAUGCCGCGUGAGUGAAGAAGGCCU